This 342-nucleotide ribosomal RNA is filed under the name uncultured bacterium. RNAcentral describes it as "bacterial SSU rRNA". It matches the Rfam family "Bacterial small subunit ribosomal RNA", at positions 1 to 334 of the family's 1533-position model. The record is from RNAcentral.
GUCUAGUACUCAGAGUUUGAUCCUGGCUCAGGAUGAACGCUAGCUACAGGCUUAACACAUGCAAGUCGAGGGGCAGCACAGUGUAGCAAUACACGGGUGGCGACCGGCGCACGGGUGCGUAACGCGUAUCCAACCUUCCCGUUACUCAGGGAUAGCCUUCCGAAAGGGAGAUUAAUACCUGAUGGUGUUGAAAUUCCGCAUGUUAUUUCAACUAAAGAUUUAUCGGUAACGGAUGGGGAUGCGUGACAUUAGAUAGUAGGCGGGGUAACGGCCCACCUAGUCUACGAUGUCUAGGGGUUCUGAGAGGAAGGUCCCCCACACUGGAACUGAGACACGGUCCAG